GAUGGUUCUCAGGUGACACACCCUGGAAUCGGGCUCCCUCCUCUCUGGUUCCGGGGUGCAUCACCUGAGAACCGCC
Non-coding RNA from Myotis lucifugus (little brown bat), 76 nucleotides. The record is from Rfam. NCBI's taxonomy places the organism in Eukaryota, Metazoa, Chordata, Mammalia, Chiroptera, Vespertilionidae.